This 253-nucleotide ribosomal RNA is filed under the name uncultured bacterium. Its description in RNAcentral is "partial 16S ribosomal RNA". It matches the Rfam family "Bacterial small subunit ribosomal RNA", at positions 524 to 776 of the family's 1533-position model. The record is from RNAcentral.
UACGAAGGGGGCUAGCGUUGCUCGGAAUCACUGGGCGUAAAGGGUGCGUAGGCGGGUCUUUAAGUCAGGGGUGAAAUCCUGGAGCUCAACUCCAGAACUGCCUUUGAUACUGAAAAUCUUGAGUUCGGGAGAGGUGAGUGGAACUGCGAGUGUAGAGGUGAAAUUCGUAGAUAUUCGCAAGAACACCAGUGGCGAAGGCGGCUCACUGGCCCGAUACUGACGCUGAGGCACGAAAGCGUGGGGAGCAAACAGG